UUACACCCAGGGGUGUGAAACUCUCAUACAAUAUCGUAAUUCAAAAAUAUUCAUACAAACUAACGCCAUCUCUUAGAGGAGGAGGGUGAGUUCGGGGUGAUAGAUUAAUGUGCCAAAAAUAGAUGGCAGUAGCAGCAGUAGAGUCGAGAAUUUUUGCAAAUAUAAUUAAUUUAAAUAAUCAAUCAAACAUGUUUUGUACGAUUCAUAGGUAUAAAAAAAUAUAUUAUAAAAUAUAAGUAUAUUUUAAUUUAUCUCCAAUAUUUUUUGCCGUGGCAAUAUUAUUGAGGCCCAUCGUGCAUUAGUCGGCCAUAUUUGAAUUUUGAAUCACUCGUUUAUUUGUGUUUGUUCAGUGUUCGUUGUGAUUUUAAUUUUAUUGUGUUAUUCCCUACGUUUUGGCUUGUUUACGGACUUUUUGAUCUUCUACGUGUUACGACAUCACCUGGAUUGUUAUUUGGACCCCGGACUGAUUGCAUGACUGUUAACUUGGCUCUUUAUUACACGGAUUACAAUUUUUGCAAUUUUGAUUAAGUAUUUUAAAAUGGCGAAAUCAGCUGAAUUAAAAUGUUAUUUCAAAUGUGAUAUUGAUGGACCCUUACAUCGCUUUCCCAAAUGGGAAUAUCCUCAUACAGAGAAGUUAAACCAAUGAAAAUUUUGAAAUUUUGAUAGGAAUGAUCAUGUUAAAAAACAAGCAUCCGAUUAUUAUAAUAAAAGAUGAAAAUAAACAACAGUUUUAUAAAUUCUA
Melitaea cinxia (Glanville fritillary) is the source of this 742-nucleotide long non-coding RNA. RefSeq lists it as uncharacterized. The transcript has 2 exons. Lineage: Eukaryota; Metazoa; Arthropoda; Insecta; Lepidoptera; Nymphalidae. The record is from RefSeq and is a predicted model, not a curated record.